This 779-nucleotide ribosomal RNA is filed under the name uncultured Neocallimastigales. RNAcentral describes it as "partial large subunit ribosomal RNA". It matches the Rfam family "Eukaryotic large subunit ribosomal RNA", at positions 24 to 634 of the family's 3401-position model. The record is from RNAcentral. Lineage: Eukaryota; Fungi; Neocallimastigomycota; Neocallimastigomycetes; Neocallimastigales.
UAUCUCUGUAGAGUCUGCAUAUCAAUAAGCGGAGGAAAAGAAACUAACAAGGAUUCCCUUAGUAACGGCGAGUGAAGCGGGAAGAGCUCAAAUUUGAAAUCUUCAAGGUUUUACCUUGACGAAUUGUAGUUUAAAGAAGUGUUUUCUGUUGAAGUUUCGGUAAAAGUUUUUGGAAUAGGACAUCAGUAGAGGGUGAGAAUCCCGUAUUUGACCGUUAUUUUCAGCUGUGUGAUACACUUUCAAAGAGUCGGAUUGUUUGGGAAUGCAGUCCAAAAUGGGUGGUAAAUUUCAUCUAAAGCUAAAUAUUGGCGAGAGACCGAUAGCGAACAAGUACCGUGAGGGAAAGAUGAAAAGAACUUUGAAAAGAGAGUUAAACAGUACGUGAAAUUGUCAAAAGGGAAGCGUUUGACACCAGUGUUGUUUUCUCGAAAAUCAAUUAAAAAUGGCUUGAUUUUGUGUUGUAUUGACCAUUAAAAGCUUUCUUCACUUUUUUCAUGUCUUUUUUAAUGCACUUUUCGUUUAACAAGUCAACAUCAGUUUCUUUUGUUGUAAAAAGGUCAUUGGAAGGUGGCUUUCUUUUCGGAGAAAGUGUUUAUAGCCUUUGACUUCUGCAAUCGGAGAGACUGAGGUCUGCAGCGUAGAUCCUUCGGGAUUAGAUUCAGUUAGAUGCUAAGUUACUACCGUUUUAUAGACAACUUGUUGACUAUAAUUCGAUCCUGUAGCUUACUCGCUUAUGGUAUUUUACCUACGCUUAGGAUGUUGAUAUGCAUGACUGAUAU